MicroRNA precursor from Macaca nemestrina (pig-tailed macaque), 94 nucleotides. The record is from Ensembl. Lineage: Eukaryota; Metazoa; Chordata; Mammalia; Primates; Cercopithecidae.
GCUGGGCGUGGUGGCGGGCGCCUGUGAUCCCAGCUACUCGGGAGGCUGAGGCAGGAGAAUGGCGUGAACCCGGGAGGCGGAGCUUGCAAUGAGC